GACGAACGCUGGCGGCGUGCCUAAUACAUGCAAGUCGAACGCAGUGGGGACGGGUGAGUAACACGUGGGUAACCUCCCAUCAGAGGGGAUAACACUUGGAAAAAGGUGCUAAAACGAUACUGAUGGAUGGAACCGCGGUGCAUUCGCUAGGUGGUGAGGUACCGGCUCACAAAGGCAACGAUGCAGAGCCGAGCUGGGAGGGGGUCCGCCACCACGGGGACUGAGACACGGCCCAGACUCAUACGGGAGGCAGCAGUAGGGAAUCUUCGGCAAUGGACGAAAGUCUGACCGAGCAACGCCGCGUGAGUGAAGAAGGUUUUCGGAGCGUAAAACUCUGUUGUUAGAGAAGCGGUAUCUAACCAGAAAGCCACGGCUAACUCCGUGCCAGCAGCCGCGGUAAUUC
RNAcentral lists this ribosomal RNA (403 nucleotides) under uncultured bacterium. RNAcentral's name for it is "partial 16S ribosomal RNA". It matches the Rfam family "Bacterial small subunit ribosomal RNA", at positions 28 to 526 of the family's 1533-position model. The record is from RNAcentral.